This 253-nucleotide ribosomal RNA is filed under the name uncultured bacterium. Its description in RNAcentral is "partial 16S ribosomal RNA". It matches the Rfam family "Bacterial small subunit ribosomal RNA", at positions 524 to 776 of the family's 1533-position model. The record is from RNAcentral.
GACGGAGGAUGCAAGCGUUAUCCGGAAUGAUUGGGCGUAAAGCGUCCGCAGGUGGCAGUUCAAGUCUGCUGUCAAAGACCGGGGCUUAACUUCGGAAAGGCAGUGGAAACUGAACAGCUAGAGUAUGGUAGGGGCGGAGGGAAUUCCUGGUGUAGCGGUGAAAUGCGCAGAUAUCGGGAGGAACACCAAUGGCGAAGGCAGCUCGCUGGGACGGUACUGACGCUGAGGCGCGAAAGCGUGGGGAGCAAACAGG